UCCGGUUUGUCACCGGCAGUCUCGCAUGAGUCCCCAACUAAAUGCUGGCAACAUGCGACGGGGGUUGCGCUCGUUGCGGGACUUAACCCAACAUCUCACGACACCGAAUCUCUCCGGCUUUUCCCUGCAUGUCAAACCUUGGUAAGGUUCUUCGCGUUGCGUCGAAUUAAGCAACAUGCUCCGCCGCUUGUGCGGGCCCCCGUCAAUUCCUUUGAGUUUUAGCCUUGCGGCCGUACUCCCCAGGCGGGGAACUUAAUGCGUUAGCUGCGGCACCGACGACGUGGAAUGUCGCCAACACCUAGUUCCCACCGUUUACGGCGUGGACUAC
RNAcentral lists this unclassified non-coding RNA (328 nucleotides) under uncultured Actinomycetes bacterium. RNAcentral's name for it is "uncultured actinobacterium contains 16S-23S intergenic spacer region". Lineage: Bacteria; Bacillati; Actinomycetota; Actinomycetes. The record is from RNAcentral.